AUACGUAGGGUGCGAGCGUUGUCCGGAAUUACUGGGCGUAAAGAGCUCGUAGGUGGUUUGUCGCGUCGUCUGUGAAAUUCCGGGGCUUAACUCCGGGCGUGCAGGCGAUACGGGCAUAACUUGAGUACUGUAGGGGAGACUGGAAUUCCUGGUGAAGCGGUGAAAUGCGCGGAGAUCAGGGGGAACACCGGGGGCGAGGGCGGGUCUCUGGGCAGUAACUGACGCUGAGGAGCGAAAGCAUGGGGGGCGAACAGGAUUAGAUACCCUGGUAGUCCAUGCCGUAAACGGUGGGGGCUAGGGGUAGGGGUCUUCCACGACUUCUGUGCCGUAGCUAACGCAUUAAGCGCCCCGCCUGGGGAGUACGGCCGCAAGGCUAAAACUCAAAUGAAUUGACGGGG
RNAcentral lists this ribosomal RNA (398 nucleotides) under uncultured bacterium. Its description in RNAcentral is "partial 16S ribosomal RNA". It matches the Rfam family "Bacterial small subunit ribosomal RNA", at positions 523 to 918 of the family's 1533-position model. The record is from RNAcentral.